AUUGAACGCUGGCGGCAGGCCUAACACAUGCAAGUCGAACGGUAACAGGAAGCAGCUUGCUGCUUCGCUGACGAGUGGCGGACGGGUGAGUAAUGUCUGGGAAGCUGCCUGAUGGAGGGGGAUAACUACUGGAAACGGUAGCUAAUACCGCAUAAUGUCGCAAGACCAAAGAGGGGGACCUUUGGGCCUCUUGCCAUCGGAUGUGCCCAGAUGGGAUUAGCUUGUUGGUGGGGUAACGGCUCACCAAGGCGACGAUCCCUAGCUGGUCUGAGAGGAUGACCAGCCACCCUGGAACUGAGACACGGUCCAGACUCCUACGGGAGGCAGCAGUGGGGAAUAUUGCACAAUGGGCGCAAGCCUGAUGCAGCCAUGCCGCGUGUAUGAAGAAGGCCUUCGGGUUGUAAAGUACUUUCAGCGGGGAGGAAGGGAGUAAAGUUAAUACCUUUGCUCAUUGACGUUACUCGCAGAAGAAGCACCGGCUAACUCCGUG
This 490-nucleotide ribosomal RNA is filed under the name uncultured bacterium. RNAcentral's name for it is "partial 16S ribosomal RNA". It matches the Rfam family "Bacterial small subunit ribosomal RNA", at positions 30 to 507 of the family's 1533-position model. The record is from RNAcentral.